UCUGUGUCAACUUUAAACGUCCAUAUCUCCCUCAUUUGGACUUCGAUUUGGGCAAGAUUCAUGUCUAAAUUGAAGCGUAGGAAUUCUAGUUUCUAAUGGUGGUGGUCUCACUAAAAAAUUCCAAGUUAUGAGGGAUUUAUGCCCAGAAAAGUACAAGCUGGUCAUUAAGCUAAAUCAAAUUCAGUUUCUUUUCCAUGGAAAACUCAAUUGUAGGUCUCUUAAACAUGUUCAAGACCCAAGGUCAAGUCUAAUAAGGUUAUAAACACUAUCAUAUUCAUACUACAAUAUUGAUACAUAAUUUAAAGGUCUCAAAGGUCAUUAAUUAUAAAACAUACCUCAAUUAGAUGCUUAGAACAAACCUCAUUUGAUUUUCCCUUUUCCCUCACUUUCUCUCUUA
This 397-nucleotide long non-coding RNA is filed under the name Actinidia chinensis (golden kiwifruit). Its description in RNAcentral is "long non-coding RNA (ACHI_LNC006731)". Lineage: Eukaryota; Viridiplantae; Streptophyta; Magnoliopsida; Ericales; Actinidiaceae. The record is from RNAcentral.